UGGGGAAUCUUGCACAAUGGGCGCAAGCCUGAUGCAGCAACGCCGCGUGCGGGAAGACGGCCCUAGGGUUGUAAACCGCUUUCAGGAGGGAAGAAAAUGACGGUACCUCCAGAAGAAGGUGCGGCCAACUACGUGCCAGCAGCCGCGGUGACACGUAGGCACCAAGCGUUAUCCGGAUUUAUUGGGCGUAAAGAGCUCGUAGGCGGUUCGGUAAGUCGGGUGUGAAAAUCCAAGGCUCAACCUUGGGACGCCACCCGAUACUGCUGUGACUCGAGUGCAGUAGGGGAGCAGGGAAUUCCUGGUGUAGCGGUGAAAUGCGCAGAUAUCAGGAGGAACACCAGUGGCGAAGGCGCUGCUCUGGGCUGUAACUGACGCUGAGGAGCGAAAAGCAUGGGGUAGCAAAACAGGAUUAGAUACCCUGGUAGUCCAUGCCGUAAAACGUUGGGCACUAGGUGUGGGUCUCAACCAACGAGAUCCGCGCCGUCGCUAACGCAUUAAGUGCCCCG
RNAcentral lists this ribosomal RNA (506 nucleotides) under uncultured bacterium. RNAcentral describes it as "bacterial SSU rRNA". It matches the Rfam family "Bacterial small subunit ribosomal RNA", at positions 355 to 871 of the family's 1533-position model. The record is from RNAcentral.